UACGUAGUUAGCCGUGGCUUAUUCAAGAGGUACCGUCUUCUGCUCUUCCCUCUUAAAAGAAGUUUACAACCCGAAAGCCUUCUUCCUUCACGCGGCGUUGCUGGGUCAGGCUUGCGCCCAUUGCCCAAUAUUCCCCACUGCUGCCUCCCGUAGGAGUCUGGGCCGUAUCUCAGUCCCAAUGUGGCCGGUCAACCUCUCAGUCCGGCUACUGAUCGUCGCCUAGGUGGGCCGUUACCCCGCCUACUAGCUAAUCAGACGCGAGGCCAUCUUCCAGCGAUAAAUCUUUGACAUUCAAACCAUGCGAUUCAAAUGUGUCAUGCGGUAUUAGCAGUCGUUUCCAACUGUUGUCCCCCUCUGGAAGGCAGGUUCCUCACGCGUUACUCACCAGUCCGCCACUAAGCAUUCCUCUCCAUUGUCCGAAAACUCUUUCAAGGGUGCUCCGUUCGACUUGCAUGUGUUAAGCACGCCGCCAGCGUUCGUCCUGAGCCAGGAUCAAACUCU
Molecule: ribosomal RNA, 501 nt
Filed under: uncultured Oscillibacter sp.
Lineage: Bacteria; Bacillati; Bacillota; Clostridia; Eubacteriales; Oscillospiraceae
Description: partial 16S ribosomal RNA
Source: RNAcentral